Molecule: ribosomal RNA, 429 nt
Filed under: Chloroflexota bacterium
Lineage: Bacteria; Bacillati; Chloroflexota
Description: Chloroflexi bacterium partial 16S ribosomal RNA
Rfam family: Bacterial small subunit ribosomal RNA
Source: RNAcentral
UGGGGAAUAUUGCACAAUGGGCGCAAGCCUGAUGCAGCCAUGCCGCGUGUAUGAAGAAGGUCUUCGGGUUGUAAAGUACUUUCAGUCGGGAGGAAGGUGGUAAGGUUAAUAACCUUAUCAAUUGACGUUACCGACAGAAGAAGCACCGGCUAACUCCGUGCCAGCAGCCGCGGUAAUACGGAGGGUGCAAGCGUUAAUCGGAAUUACUGGGCGUAAAGCGCACGCAGGCGGUUGAUUGAGUCAGAUGUGAAAUCCCCGGGCUUAACCCGGGAAUUGCAUCUGAUACUGGUCAGCUAGAGUCUUGUAGAGGGGGGUAGAAUUCCAUGUGUAGCGGUGAAAUGCGUAGAGAUGUGGAGGAAUACCGGUGGCGAAGGCGGCCCCCUGGACAAAGACUGACGCUCAGGUGCGAAAGCGUGGGGAGCAAACAGG